This 444-nucleotide ribosomal RNA is filed under the name uncultured Amanita. Its description in RNAcentral is "eukaryotic LSU rRNA". The stretch from base 108 to 261 matches the Rfam family "5.8S ribosomal RNA". Lineage: Eukaryota; Fungi; Basidiomycota; Agaricomycetes; Agaricales; Amanitaceae. The record is from RNAcentral.
AGUGCACCGAUUUGUAGACUACCUUUGGUGUCUAUGAUAUAUACAUCACNAGUUUUUGAAUGUAUUAGUUUUGAGGCCUUUUUGUGCCCGUUAUUAACAAAAUAUACAACUUUCAACAAUGGAUCUCUUGGCUCUUGCAUCGAUGAAGAACGCAGCGAAAUGCGAUAAGUAAUGUGAAUUGCAGAAUUCAGUGAAUCAUCGAAUCUUUGAACGCAUCUUGCGCUCCUUGGUAUUCCGAGGAGCAUGCCUGUUUGAGUGUCAUUAAUUUCUCAAAACAUUUCACAUUGUAAUGUUUUGGAUUGUGGGAGUCAUUGCUGGCCGGUUGGUANUCAGCUCUCCUUAAAAGUAUGGGAUGGAAAGGUCUUUCAACGCUCAUUUGGUGUGAUAAUUAUCUAUGCCAGGGAAGUAAAUGAAAGCUUUUUCAAGUCCCCCCUUGGUCCUGUA